UGGGGAAUUUUGGACAAUGGGCGCAAGCCUGAUCCAGCCAUGCCGCGUGUGUGAAGAAGGCCUUCGGGUUGUAAACCACUGUCAGAGGGGAUGAAAUGCAGGUGGGUUCUCCCAUCUGUUUGACAUAGCCUCAGAGGAAGGACGGGCUAAGUUCGUGCCAGCAGCCGCGGUAAGACGAACCGUCCAAACGUUAUUCGGAAUUACUGGGCUUAAAGGGUGCGUGGGCGGCGCGGAAAGUUGGGUGUGAAAUCCCUCGGCUCAACCGAGGAACUGCGCCCAAUACUACCGUGCUUGAGGGAGAUAGAGGUGAGCGGAACUUAGGGUGGAGCGGUGAAAUGCGUUGAUAUCCUAAGGAACACCGGUGGCGAAAGCGGCUCACUGGAUCUCUUCUGACGCUGAGGCACGAAAGCUAGGGUAGCGAACGGGAUUAGAUACCCUGGUAGUCCCUGAGCGGGCUGGCAAGGCGCAU
Molecule: ribosomal RNA, 469 nt
Filed under: uncultured bacterium
Lineage: Bacteria
Description: bacterial SSU rRNA
Rfam family: Bacterial small subunit ribosomal RNA
Source: RNAcentral